RNAcentral lists this long non-coding RNA (3989 nucleotides) under Podarcis lilfordi (Lilford's wall lizard). The record is from RNAcentral. Lineage: Eukaryota; Metazoa; Chordata; Lepidosauria; Squamata; Lacertidae.
CUCCGCAAUUUGGGAUGGGGGGAAAAAACCCCCUCAUAAUUUAUUUGACUCAGACAAUGCAAAAUGAAUCUCUAGUGUUGAUUCAUUGCUUCUCUUCAUCCACCAGCUUGAACCAAGAGAGGAUGGCUGGAGGAUCAAGCCCGUUGCUUCCUUCAGUGGUAUUACACUAAUAUUCUAGUAGUGCAAUGAUGCUUCGGAAUACCAGUUGCUGGAAGCCACAGGAGUGGAGAGGGCUCUUGUGCUCGGAUCCUACUUGUGGGCUUCCCUUUGGGGCAUCUGACUGACCACUGUGAGAACACAAUGCUGGACUAGAUGGGCCAGUGACCUGAUCCAAUUGCAAACUCGACUUACAUUCUUAUUUCCUCCUAUAGUCUGAAGGUAUAUAUAUUCUGCUGUUUAGUACUCAGGCUGAUGCAAUCCUACAUUGCCAUUGGCUCCCUGAGUUUCAUUUAGGGCAGAAGAAAUUAUGGAGUUUUUUGUUUUUGAGAUUGGGGAAGUUUCUUGUACAAAGAAAAGCAAGCAAUAAAAAAGAGAGGCAAAGUUGUCUGAGAUAAUUUAGCUUAAAUUGUUGGGCUUUUUAAAAGAGUGCUUGAUCAUCAUGGGAAAAAACAUUUUUAUGCACAGAAAACUUUAGGGAGGGCAUCGUUGUAAAUAGCAAUUAAUGCUAAUAGAUUCUGCCGGGCUGCUCUUGAGCAUUAAAGGCAGGAAGAGAAACUUACGAGCUUAUUUUUAAUUCAUUUGCAGCUGGCAAUGUUGCAAGUUGUGGUAGGGAGAUGAUGCCACUUUUAAAACAGUUGGUGAGUGAAAAAUUGGGACAUAGCUUCUACUUCAAAAGAGAUACUUAGCGGAAUUUGGGGAAGGGAGAAUACACUAGUGAGAGCUGCUUACACUUAACCAUCAGUUAUCGGCAGAGAAGAAUUAUGGAAAAUAUCACACAAUAUGACUAAGAAUGACUUAUAGAUAGCACAGUUUAUUGUGCAACCUAAUUAUAAUGCAUAUUAUUAUGUUUAACUAGUGUUCAUAAUUAACUUACUCAGUUUAUACCCCUCAACUGCCCCAAUUUAAGCGGGACAUCCUGAAAUUACUGAAGCCAUCCCAACUACUGACUGGAUCCAGCAAUGUCCUGGUCUUUGGUCUGGUGCUCUGGCAUGUGUCAGCUGGCUCAUGCCAGAAAACUAGACCAAAAUACUCUUUUUUUUGUCUCAUGCUCUUAUGUGAAUCAGCUGGCUUAGGCCAGAGUGCCAAAUCGGGUCCUCCCUUAAAGAGGACACGUAUUGCGGUGAGACCUGGACAACUGGCACCCUGUGUUGUGGGUGGGUACGUUUGGACAGCCACAACACCCGAAUGGUAGGUCCCUCAAAGCUGUGUGCAACCUGGCCAAUGGGACGCAGUCUAAAUGGUUCGAUGGACCUAUUUAUGCCCAUGCACAUGACCCAGAGCUCCCUCUUUCAGCGCUUGAAUUCAGAACACCAACAUUGUGUCCUCUGCAAACCGAGAGAGGGAGAGAGAGAGCGAUUUACCUUUGGUGAAUCAUCCUGGUGAUAUCUUUUCGUUAGCCUUUCUUUUACCCUCUUUCCCCCCUCACUUUAAUUUCAGGUUAAUCCUCCCCACCCCUGCCCUACCCUGACUAAGAGGGGCCUUUGCCCCCACGGGGCCUCGGCCCCUUAGUGCCCUUUCGGAGCUUUUCACUCUUUUAAUUUUCCUGGAUUUUUCCCUCUUGCGGGGCUUGCUGCGGAUUCCAAUUUUAUAUAUGUGGCUUCGUGCAGCGUUUGCUGAUCCCUCAUGAGCUGGCUGAUCCGGAGUGCGGCGUUGCCGUGGCCUGAGAAAACCUCUGCUCAGCGGUUCGUCUUAUUAAUCUUGGAGGGGAUUUUGCCCACGGGGCUUUGGCUGUUGGCACUUUUGCCUGUGGAGUUUCCUCCAUUUCCCUGGGUUCUCCGAGCAGCAAUUUUGAGCAGUUAUAGCUGCGUCUUUCAUUUAAAGAGCCUUGAACUGAGUUUAGUGGGGGUGAAAAUAUUUUGAGUUCGCUUGUUUUGUUCGCUGUUCCGCCUUCUGAGAGUUCCCCCUCUGUAAGCCUGGUGAACUCUGCACCCCCUCCCAAUUUUAAGGCUGGUUGGGGAAACUGCUGGGGCCGGCGGCCAUUUUCUCCAGCUUAAUUUGGCGGGAGCGCCAUUUGCACUGGUGAUAGUGCAAUUUCUGAUGGGAGCACGAUCUUGUUUUGGUGGGAGCGCCAUCUUAAUGGGUUAAGCCUUAAUUAUUUAUUUUGUAUUGUGGGAGAGCUUAUCGAGAUGCCAGUUAAAAGGAACCCUAGUCCUGCUCACCCUUCAAAAAGGGUAAUUAGAGGCCCGCCUCAGUCGCAGUGUUCAGUGAAAGCCCCAGUAGUUCCUCAGCAAACACUGGAUCGUCUGGGUUCUAUUGUUGCCAAUAUUGGCUCAGACCCUGCGGCCUUGACAAGGUUGAAUUCACAGCUUGAGUCAUUGGCUCAGCAGUUUGGGAGGCAGCCUGGCCCCUCCUCUUCUUCUACUGUUUAUGAAGUCCAUGGUCCCUCUGAUGCAAGUGAAGGGAGUGAGGCUUUUGAUUCUUCUGGGGCUUUGUUUUCCCAGCUGCAGUUUUCCAGGAUUCCAGUCCCAACUAGUCCCAGGGGUCGACCCAGGAGUAUGGGUGGCACGGUUCAGCAGGCCUUUCAGCCCAGACUGCCACGUUUGCAGUCGGCACCCCCGGGUUCUGGGAGUUCAGGGCUUCCAGCAGCGCAGCUUAUGGGGAGAGGAACUUCUUCUCAGCCUAGCACCUCACAUGUUUUUAGUUCUGUUCAGGUGCAGUCGGUCCAUCCGAGGGAGACGUUCAGCAUCCACUCUUCUGAGGAGGAUCUUCCAGGGCCCAGGGUCCCUUCAUCCGGUGGCAAGGGGCAGAAGAGUCGUCGCUCCAAGCACAGGGCCAAGAGGCGGAAGGAUGGCGAUACCUCCUCUUCUACAGGUAUGUCUUCUGAGACAUCUGAGGAUGAGUCAGAUGUGACCCUGGGUCUUUAUUGGGACCACGGCGAAGGGUCUUCGGGCCUUCCCAGGUGGGCUUGGCAGCGCAGAGGGAGGGCAUCAUUGUAAAUAACAAUUAAUGCUAAUAGAUUCUGCCAGGCUGCUCUUGAGCAUUAAAGGCAGGAAGAGAAACUUACGAGCUUAUUUCUAAUUCAUUUGCAGUUGGCAAUGUUACAAGCUGUGGUAGGGAGAUGAAGCCAAUGGUGUGGGCGAAGGUGUCUGCGGAAGGCACGCCUGUGGCGAUGGUGGUGCAGCUCGGCGAGAACGAUUUGCCGGAAGCUCCCAGCUUGAGCCUGCAGACCCGCAUGCAGGAGGACUUGAAAGAGUUGAAGGCAGUUAUUCCUGGACUCUAGAUAUUUUGGUCGCAGCUGUUGCAGCGACGUGACUGGCGAGGAAGCCGAUGCCCAGCUGCCACCAAGAGGGCCAGGAGGCGCGUGCAGAGCGCAGUGGCCAAGAAGGUUCUGGCCUUGGGCAGGAUGGUGAUCCAUCACCCGGGCAUUACCUUCCGUGUUGCGUCCCUUGACAGGCUUGAUGGUCUUCAUCUGUCUGUGAUUGGGAUUGAUUUAUGGCUGACCUCCGUGUCAGCGGGGUUAAGGGAUUGGUUACAGGUCUGAGUGGCUGCCGGCAAGCGCAGGGCUUGUGUGGCAGAUAGGCUCUGGUUCUGGUGAUAGGAAUGGGAGAACGCUCUUGCCAUCCCUAUGUGAAGGUUAUUCCAUUAAAGGAAUCCAGGGACUCAACUGGUUUGGUCAACCCCUGUGAUGGGGUUGUGCCCGUGCCUGAGUCUAGGGGGACAUUUGGGUGGCGUAGAUAGCCCAUGCCCAGCUUUCCGCUUAUCCAGGUGUUCACCCUAGGCUGACCUAUGCUGGUGCCCUGGGUCAAUGCUACCUGCAUAGCAGGGAGCUAGUCAAACCAGAGCCUCUGCAACCAGUCACUUUCUGUAAUCAAUAAAGCUGUGGCCUAAAU